RNAcentral lists this ribosomal RNA (497 nucleotides) under uncultured bacterium. RNAcentral describes it as "partial 16S ribosomal RNA". It matches the Rfam family "Bacterial small subunit ribosomal RNA", at positions 28 to 507 of the family's 1533-position model. The record is from RNAcentral.
GAUGAACGCUGGCGGCGUGCCUAAUACAUGCAAGUCGAGCGAACGGACGAGAAGUUUGCUUCUCUGAUGUUAUCGGCGGACGGGAGAGUAACACGUGGUUAACCUAACUAUAAGACUGGGAUAACUUCGGGAAACCGGAUCUAAUACCGGAUAAUAUUUUGCACUGCAUGGUUCAAAAGUGAAAGUCGGUCUUGCUGUCACUUAUAGAUUGACCCGCGCUGCAUUAGUUAGUUGGUAAGGUAACGGCUUACCAAGGCAACGAUGCAUAGCCGACCUGAGAGGGUGAUCGGCCACACUGGAACGGAGACACGGUCCAGACUCCUACGGGAGGCAGCAGUAGGGAAUCUUCCGCGAUGGGCGAAAGCCUGACGGAGCAACGCCGCGUGAGUGAUGAAGGUCUUCGGAUCGUAAAACUCUGUUAUUAGGGAAGAACAAAUGUGUAAGUAACUGUGCACAUCUUGACGGUACCUAAACAGAAAGCCACGGCUAACUACGUG